GGCGGCAGGCCUAACACAUGCAAGUCGAACGGUAGCACAGAGAGCUUGCUCUCGGGUGACGAGUGGCGGACGGGUGAGUAAUGUCUGGGAAACUGCCUGAUGGAGGGGGAUAACUACUGGAAACGGUAGCUAAUACCGCAUAACGUCGCAAGACCAAAGUGGGGGACCUUCGGGCCUCGUGCCAUCAGAUGUGCCCAGAUGGGAUUAGCUUGUUGGUGAGGUAACGGCUCACCAAGGCGACGAUCCCUAGCUGGUCUGAGAGGAUGACCAGCCACACUGGAACUGAGACACGGUCCAGACUCCUACGGGAGGCAGCAGUGAGGAAUAUUGGUCAAUGGCCGAGAGGCUGAACCAGCCAUGCCGCGUGCGGGAGGACGGCCCUAUGGGUUGUAAACCGCUUUUGUUGGGGAGCAAUAAGGGUCACGCGUGACCUGAUGAGAGUACCCAGCGAAUAAGCAUCGGCUAACUCCGUGCCAGCAGCCGC
RNAcentral lists this ribosomal RNA (484 nucleotides) under uncultured bacterium. RNAcentral describes it as "bacterial SSU rRNA". It matches the Rfam family "Bacterial small subunit ribosomal RNA", at positions 38 to 518 of the family's 1533-position model. The record is from RNAcentral.